UGUUUUUGAAUUGUUUUUUCUCUUUGUGCUGAUUAAGCACUUUGUAGGUAAUUCGAUACUCUGCUGUGGCGACAUGAUAUAUUAUGUAAUACUGAACAAUGAAUCUGAAAAUUUUUAGGGAAUUAAAUGUCUGCUAACCACGACAAUUACCUGGAUGCCGAGUUCUAUCAUAUCAGUCUUUGCAUGUUUGAUAGUUCUUUGACUUUUUGUUUUUGGUAGUAUGAAGAUGGACACCUCUCUGAGUCUGGUCUGCUUGAGGUUUCUUCUUAUAAAUAAAAAAAUAUGUCCAAGGGAGUUCUUCCUUACUACUGUUGCCUUUGUGCUUGUUCAGGGGAGGGGCAAAGGUUAGACUAUAUGUAUCCCAAUGAAGUUGUGAUUUGACGCUAUAUCAAACAAACUGAAUCAACUCCCGUGGCUCACAUCAAAGAUUGUCAUCUUGCUGAAAAAUAAGAUUAUCAAACACAAGUAUUAUUGUGUCUGCAACAACUAGUUUAAAGAGAGGAAGUAGUAGUAGUACGUCCUACUAAGGCCCUG
Molecule: long non-coding RNA, 534 nt
Organism: Thalassophryne amazonica
Lineage: Eukaryota; Metazoa; Chordata; Actinopteri; Batrachoidiformes; Batrachoididae
Exons: 3
Source: RefSeq, a predicted model, not a curated record